UGAACAGAUUAUUGUAUUCGACUGUAUUCACGACGUGAAAUAGGGAAUUACAUUAUUUUUAAAACGAAAAGUGAAUCGAUUAACAUAAUAGACUCCC
This 97-nucleotide microRNA precursor is filed under the name Nicotiana sylvestris (wood tobacco). RNAcentral describes it as "MIR6152 microRNA precursor family". It matches the Rfam family "MIR6152 microRNA precursor family". Lineage: Eukaryota; Viridiplantae; Streptophyta; Magnoliopsida; Solanales; Solanaceae. The record is from Rfam by way of RNAcentral. RNAcentral also lists the same sequence under 1 other name.